Molecule: ribosomal RNA, 253 nt
Filed under: uncultured bacterium
Lineage: Bacteria
Description: partial 16S ribosomal RNA
Rfam family: Bacterial small subunit ribosomal RNA
Source: RNAcentral
GACGGAGGGUGCUAGCGUUGUUCGGAAUGACUGGGCGUAAAGGGCGCGUAGGCGGCUCGUGAAGUCGGGUGUGAAAUCUCCCGGCUCAACUGGGAGGGGACGGCCGAUACGGCUGGGCUUGAGCGAGGUAGGGGAGAGUGGAAUUCCUGGUGUAGCGGUGAAAUGCGCAGAUAUCAGGAGGAACACCAGCGGCGAAGGCGGCGCUCUGGGCCGGUACUGACACUGAGGAGCGAAAGCGUGGGUAGCAAACAGG